Molecule: ribosomal RNA, 293 nt
Filed under: uncultured bacterium
Lineage: Bacteria
Description: partial 16S ribosomal RNA
Source: RNAcentral
GGACUACCGGGGUUUCUAAUCCUGUUUGCUACCCACGCUUUCGCGCCUCAGCGUCAGAUGAUGCCCAGUAUGCUGCCUUCGCCAUGGGUGUUCCUCCUGAUAUCAACGCAUUUCACCGCUACACCAGGAAUUCCACAUACCUCUGCAUCCCUCCAGUCUGGCAGUAUGAAAAGCAAUUUCCGGGUUGAGCCCUGGAGAUUUCACUUCUCACUUACUAGACCGCCUACGCGCUCUUUACGCCCAGUAAAUCCGGACAACGCUUGGACCCUACGUCUUACCGCGGCUGCUGGCAC